RNAcentral lists this long non-coding RNA (802 nucleotides) under Anas platyrhynchos platyrhynchos (common mallard). RNAcentral describes it as "lncRNA (ENSAPLG00000017520.1)". The record is from RNAcentral. Lineage: Eukaryota; Metazoa; Chordata; Aves; Anseriformes; Anatidae.
GGGUUAGCAGAUGGUCCAGAACUGAAGUCAGGUGUCUAAAGACUUGCACAUGAGAAAGGAUAGACGAGCCUUUAGUGAGAUAUGUUCCGGUGUGAUUUUCUAAGUAGGACUUAAGCAAUUUAUUUCAAUUCUCAUAUAGUGAAUAAUUGCAUGUAAAUCAGAAAGCAGCAAAUGCAGAACUCUUUUUCUGCACUAUAAACAACAAGAAAAAAUCACACUUUUUGUUUCAUUGGAAAAUAUUUCUUAUCAUUUUGAACUUGCUGUUCUGCUUAACUGACUUAUUUCAUUCUUAUUGACUUCCAUGGCAGUAGCACCCACAUGCUUAGAGAAUUCUCAGGCAGUGAUUUGUAUACAUGAUCAUGCAUACUCUCCAACUCAUCAUCUUGCCUGAAGUCUUACAGCGACAACAAAGAGGAAAAGAAACAUAUUUAUUAUUUUUACUCCUCAGACUGGAAAUUAAGAUCUGGAGACAUCACAGUUGGGAGUUCUACAAUUCUUAGUGCACAAAAAGAGCUGAAAAUUCAAGUUGUUUUCCGUAACAAGAAUUGAGAAAGAUACCAAGAAAAUUCAGAAGAGAGAUACAACCUCAGUGUGGAUGUUGAUGAAUACAGGCAGAAUUUAUGCGUACCCGGUGCAAUGCCUACAGUUGAUCAUGACUGCUCAAUCAAAUAAGUUACAAAAUACAAGAGAGAAGGACAGCAUUUUCACCAAUGCAAGCAGUCAAUCCAAAAGAUUGAUUAGGGUCCCAAAAAAUUUUUAAGAAGCUUUGAGAAUCAAUAAACAAUUCAUUACUUGGAUUUCA